AUUGAACGCUGGCGGCAGGCCUAACACAUGCAAGUCGAGCGGAAGAAGGGAGCUUGCUCCUGGAUUCAGCGGCGGAAGGGUGAGUAAUGCCUAGGAAUCUGCCUGGUAGCGGGGGAUAACGUCCGCAAACGGGCGCUAAUACCACAUACGUCCAGAGGCAGCAAGUGGGGGAUCUUCGGACCUCUCGCUCUCAGAUGAGCGUAGGUCGGAGUAGCUAGCUGGUGGGGUAAAGGCCUACUAAGCCGACCAUCCGUAACUGGUCUGAGAGGAUGAUCAGUCACACGGGAAGUGAGACACGGUCCAGACGCCUACGGGAGGCAGCAGAGGGGAAUGUUGGACAAAGGGCGAGAGCCUGAUCCAGCCAUGCCGAGUGUGUGGAGAAGGUCUUCGGAGUGUAAAGCACUUUAAGUUGGGAGGAAGGGCAGUAAGUUGAUACCUUGCUGUAUUGACGUUACCAACAGAAUAAGCACCGGCUAACUUCGUG
Molecule: ribosomal RNA, 484 nt
Filed under: uncultured bacterium
Lineage: Bacteria
Description: partial 16S ribosomal RNA
Rfam family: Bacterial small subunit ribosomal RNA
Source: RNAcentral